This 253-nucleotide ribosomal RNA is filed under the name uncultured bacterium. RNAcentral's name for it is "partial 16S ribosomal RNA". It matches the Rfam family "Bacterial small subunit ribosomal RNA", at positions 524 to 776 of the family's 1533-position model. The record is from RNAcentral.
UACGUAGGUGGCAAGCGUUGUCCGGAAUUAUUGGGCGUAAAGCGCGCGCAGGCGGUCCUUUAAGUCUGAUGUGAAAGCCCACGGCUCAACCGUGGAGGGUCAUUGGAAACUGGGGGACUUGAGUACAGAAGAGGAAAGCGGAAUUCCACGUGUAGCGGUGAAAUGCGUAGAGAUGUGGAGGAACACCAGUGGCGAAGGCGACUUUCUGGUCUGUAACUGACACUGAGGCGCGAAAGCGUGGGGAGCAAACAGG